GACGACGUAGCAAAGUUGGUUAAUGCGUGUGAUUAGAAUAUUCUGGUCAUAUCACAUCCUCUUCGAGGGCGUAGGUUCGAAUCCUGCCGUCGUCG
Molecule: non-coding RNA, 95 nt
Organism: Gautieria morchelliformis
Lineage: Eukaryota; Fungi; Basidiomycota; Agaricomycetes; Gomphales; Gomphaceae
Source: the annotation of a GenBank genome assembly